AUCUUUCAAUACUUGCUCAAAAUCAUAUUUAGUGUUCCAGGAAUACAUUACAUCUGUCAAUUACAAAUCUGGGAAAUGUACAAGACAUGGAAGUUCUGAAAUCCCCUGCUGAGCCUUGUCCUGCAGAUCGAGUACUUGUCUCCUUCUGCAGCACCUCCUCAACAGCAGCACAUCCCCGAUGGUACUCUGCAACCUUAUCUUCCUCUCCCACAUGUACAAGGUAAACAUGUUUACAGCUCCUGCACAGACGCUGGGUGGUUCAGACUCACAUGUCACACAUGUUGUCGUCAGCAACAAGAAAAGCCC
Oenanthe melanoleuca is the source of this 306-nucleotide long non-coding RNA. RefSeq lists it as uncharacterized. NCBI's taxonomy places the organism in Eukaryota, Metazoa, Chordata, Aves, Passeriformes, Muscicapidae. The record is from RefSeq and is a predicted model, not a curated record. The transcript has 3 exons.